RNAcentral lists this long non-coding RNA (7685 nucleotides) under Coffea arabica (coffee). Its description in RNAcentral is "long non-coding RNA (CARA_LNC001550)". The record is from RNAcentral. Lineage: Eukaryota; Viridiplantae; Streptophyta; Magnoliopsida; Gentianales; Rubiaceae.
UUUUUUUUUUUUUUUUUUUUUUUAUAAAAACAAAGUUCAUUAAUAGCAUCCAGCACCACAAUUUGACUUAAAUCAUUGUAACAGAUGCAAUAGAUCUGAAAAUUAUAAAAAUUUUGUAAUUAUUUUUAAAUAGAUAAAUCACUACAACUCCCUUCUGUACAUAUUACAAUCGUCAGAUUUUAAGCAGGGGCGGAUUUAAGGUGGUGUCCCCACUGCCCCCCUUAAAUUCUUAUAAUUUUUAUACAAUUUUAACGUAAUUUUGAGUGUGCCCCCACUCCCCAAAUUUCCUUUCCUCCUCUGUCCCCAAUUUUCCCUCCCAAUCGACGGUUUCUCUUUCUUAAUCCAUCAUUUACUUCCUUUGUCUCCACUUCUCAAUUUCCCUUUCCUCCAUCAUUUAUUGCUCCUCUGGUUUCCCAUUUUCCCCCCAAAAGAGCCACAAAUCUAUUAGCACCGAACUUUGCUCAUAAGCACAUCCCAUCUGCCGUCCCACACUGAAUUGGAUAUUCUAAGUUGGAUAUUCUUGCACUUGACACUGAAUUGGAUACUUAUAUUAAUGACUUGAAAUCAGCUAAGGAAUUUCUCAAUUUAAGAAAAGUCUCUUAUCUAGCUCAAAGGUUGGUGGAGACUAAGAGAGAUAUUGUGUAUCCAUUGGUUUAUAUGCUUUUAAAGUUAGUUUUGAUUUUGCAUGUUGCUACAGUUACAGUAAAAAAAGCUUUUUCAGCUAUGAAUAUAGUGAAGAAUCGGUUAUGAAAUAAAAUGGGAGACACUUGGAUGAAUGAUUGUUUAGUUACUUAUAUUGAGAAAAAUAUACUUCGUGAAGUUCAAAAUGAGAAAGUCGUAAAUCGUUAUCAAAAUAUGAAAACUCGUCGUGAACAAUUGUAAAUAGUUUAGUUUGUUUUUAAAAUAAAAUUAUUAUUACAUUAAUAAUUUUGAAUUUGUCUUUUUAUGUUUUUCAUAGAAUAUACGUAUCAUUGUACUUGUUGGUGAAAUUUUAUUUUUUUUUUGCUUAAAAAACUAAAAAAAGAGCAGAUAAAAAAUUUUAAUGUUAUUUUUGCCAUCACUGAGAUUUUUUUCUGGGUCCACCACUGAUUUUAAGUUAAUGAUGAGAUCCGUCGAAAUAGAUUCAAGAUUCAAAAUAUGCAUACAAAUUGUCCUGAAAAUGUAUACAAAUUCAAAAUGAAACUCGUCAAUAUUUAAGUACAUUAAUUUCGCGUCGACAACUUGCAGGAGAUUUUUCAGCAGGGAAACCUAAUCAAAUUCUUUAGUGGCGUUUAAAUGUUCAGCACAAAUGACUCAACCUCAGAAGAACCGACUGACUUAUCUACUGCAUUCCUUGCACGUGCAUGCUGAAUUGGCGUUUAAAUUCUCGAAGCGACAUCUCCGCAGAACCCCUAUCUGCGACAACUGUUGAAUUAUUUAUUAAUGUCUCCUCCAAAAAAACUAAUCUAUCGUCUCUGUUGGGCUGUCAAUUGCCAAGUUCAACCUUAAUUAAACAGGUUUUCAUUAUCAUAAAAAAAUUAAACAGCUUUUAAUCUUGUUCUUUCUAGAUUUGGUCUUUCUUUGUUUGGUUUUUUCCAACAGUAAAAUCGCGACAAAUAAACUGCAAGUUGCAGAACUUGCAGCAUCAUCUGUUAACGGGUUGCCAUCUCAUGUGUCUUUUGAGUGAUUCGAGGCCGUCUUGCCUGUCAUCACUUACCUCCACUGACAGUCUGUUAAGUAAAAGAUUUAACAAACAUAUAAUUAUAAUAGUUGUGAUCAAAGAUCUAUCACCCAAAAUGCAAACCCAGUGAGUAUUUGUCCUUCAAGUGUGCGAGUAAGUUGUGAUUUCGGUGGAUUGUAAUUUGUUUAAUUGAUCUCACUAUUGUAGGUUACAUCUAACUUAUUAUUAAGAAAAAAAUAGAAAGACACAAUAUUCUAGGCAGAUUAAUGCUGUACAUUGAUUGGAUCUAAUAGUCUAAUUCUCCGUUUUUCCCCCUUACUUCUUAAAUUUAAUCUGAAAAUUUUUUUGAAAAAAGAAGGUCCGAAACCAAAUUUCCAUGGUAUGAAUCUUGAUUAUUGACUUCGUGGCAGCUAGAUUUCACCCGUGUACUAGCAUGGUAUUAGGGCUAUUUCAGUUCUUGCAACGGAGCCCAUUUUUCAACAUAAGAACAAAAGGUGGACAAAUUAUCCAUGUUGAAAUCCGUCAACAAACCACCAGCCUUUGGGUUGGUGGCCACCAUCAAGCCUUUAAAGCUUGGUGGGAUGGAAGGUAAGAGUUCACAUCAAUUGCCACAUUAAAAUGUGAAUUUGCUUUAAAAAAUUCAGGCGGGUGCAUAGUGCAUCCGUUUGAUCCGGUGGUGAUUCAGUCCCCUCCGAAUUACCGUUAGACCUCAUUAGAUUCAUUUCUCCCCUAGUGUAGGAUAGAUUAGGAUGUAUUGUAGUUGUCGCAUCCUAAAAAAAAAGAAAUCCGUCAACACGUGUGAGGUUUUGUUGGACCAUUCAACAAUUAUUAGCCAGGGAUGAUUUUUUUUUUCUUGGUCAAAAUUAUUAGGGAUGAUAGGUACAUCCAAAAUCUGCGCAAGUACCCCCACAAGUCCACUUUCUACAUCCUUCCAAGGAACCUUCUUCUUGUGUCCGACAUUUCUACCAAUCCGAUGCUCGCUCGAAAGUCCAGGAAAUUUCACAGCAAGCCUUGGAAAUAAAGACAGAUCCUCAUCCAACUUGCAUCAUGUGCGGCUGAAAAAGAUUAACCAUAGCACAUCAACUUUUUUGGCUACGGAAUAGUUGUUUAUUUCCUAAAGGCUAAAGGUCACCACCAUCUUUGGUCAAUGACCAACUAUCUAAGGCACUUCAAAUUCAGAAAACCAAACUGCUUUUGAAAAGCACUAAAGAUGAUGAAUAUCUGACCUAAAUGGUUCGUGGAAAACGAGCUAGCUAGCCAAGGAAUUGGGAUACUACUAUACAGUUGCCUUGAUCUUCUAGAGCAGGCGGCAGUACUUCUCAGGCCAACUACCCGGCGUGUUUACACACACCAACAAUAGAAAAUUUGCAAAUUGAUGUAAUUUCAUCUAGAAGGGAGACUAAUAUGUUCAAAGUUCUCAAAUUUGGGAAGGAUUAAAUCCACAUUGUUAUAUUCUAAAUCUACACAGCUAGCGGUGCAUUGAUAACUUGUACAAUUAACAUUAACAAUUUGUAUCAUUGCUAUCAGAACUUAAUGCGAGAUGUGUAUUUAAGAAAUUAGGAUGGACGGGUGUGGAUUUAACUCCUCCCUCUCUCAAUUUGUAAUUUUGUUGGGUUAAUUAUUAUUAUCAAGUAUCUACAGGCUCUUGACCCUUGCCUUGUGUGUACCGUAUACUUGAACUGACACGAGGGAUGAAAAGCAAAAUCUCCUCCACCAAAGCGAGCAAAAUUUUCCUUUCUUUAAUGAAGUUGCUCAUUAAUGCACAAAAAACCUUUACAAGACACAGGUUUACUAAAACAAGACCCUUACAUAUAUAUCAAGAGUAAACUUUAGAUUUAAAUUUGGGUACUGAUCGAUCAUCAUUCACAAGGUUGAAUUAUUUGGUCCACGUUCCACCGGGCAAAUUUUACGCAAUCGUGCCACUUGAUUAGUGUCGGUGACAAUUAUUUUUUUCCUUUUUAGAAAGGAGUAAUCAUGAUAGUUCUUCACUAAUUGGAAACCGUCCAGCUAUGUUUUCAGAACCGAACCGAGUAUCGACUCGGCCGAGGUCAGGGGUCAAUGGGUUCGACCGGGGAUCGAUAGGGGUCGAAUCGGAUGACGUCAUAAAUAAAAAUUAUUUAAAAAUUAAAAUAUUAUAUAUAAAAUAUAUAAUAAUAUGUUAAUAUUAAUAAAGGUAUAUUCAUAUAUAUUUGAUGUUUCAAAUAUAUUUAACAAGAAAAUACAAAGAAAUUAGAACAAUCAAGUAGCAAUGUUAUUUAAUAAAUAUUAACAAGUUUAGAAUUAAAAUUAUGAAUUUAAUUGAAAAAUAACAUCAAAUUUUAGGACAAUAUUUAUAAAAUAUGAAAUAUUUGAGGUAUAUUAAUAAGUUUUAACAAUUUAGGGGGCCAAAACAUAAUAUUAAAAAGAUUGAGUUUUUUUUUUUAAAAAAAGCCCAUUGAACCGGAAAAAUCGGUUUUUUCCCGGUCAAACCCUGUUUUUGACCGGGCUUUAAAUUUCUGGUUUUUUACCAUGACUCGGACCGAGCACUUGGCCGGUUCUCGGUUCGACCAGCCAGUCCGAUCCGAGUUUCAAAACACAGUCGUCCAGCAUAAUUUGUUUGAUAAAAAAAAAGCUGCAUCAAUAGUAAAAAAGUUAUAGAACACAUCAUAGAUGUAUCGAAUUUGAAAAUUCAUUACAUUUAACAGAGUCACGAAACAAGAAGAAAGAUACCCUUGGUUAGGGGUCAAGUUGUGAGACUCUGCAUUGAAUAAGCAGCAUGCCCUUGGUUAGUUUCUUGAUGCGUAUUAGAUAGAUGUCAUCUUAUCCAGAGCAUGCCUUGGGAUUUUUAAAAAAGUAACCACUCAAUGCCUGCUGAGAAUUUACAUGUCUAUGGAUGGAACAGGGAAGAGAUCAACUAGUACUUUCAGUUAAUUAGUUUAACGAUGCUUUCCUUGUCAACGUAUUCCUCUCCUCUUCUCUUGUCUGCUUUUGCGAAUUACUACUACAAAAUAUAUCAGGCGGCUGUGCUGUGUCGGAUUAUUCAUGUGAAAUCUAUCCCACCACAUACUAUAAUUGUACUUCUACUCUAUUUCUGUUACCACUUGAUGAGCGAUGGUACAGGACAAACUCUUGCGCACCCACUGACCUAUUUCCUCUAUAAUUGACAUAAAAUAUAUGGAAAUUUUGCUGUAGCCUGAGGUGCUACAAGCAAUAAACUUUUGAGCGACCGGCUCUGUGUGUGCGCGUGCUCGCGCAUAUAUGUAUAUGUUAUAUACAAAACAAAGAUCUUCAGAAAUUUUAGGCCUAUGGAAUUGAAUGUGCACUUCAAUGAAAAAAAGAAACUUUAUGUUUUGGUAUUUUCCUGUUUAUGGAACUAAAAGAAUUUGUUGAAGUCUUGAAAUUAAUGAUGCAGUAAAAUUACAAGUCAACUGCUGGUCUGCUAGUACAUGUUGGGGUCACAAGCUGCUGAAGGGUGGUAGUCGGCCUAACGGAUAUGGAUACGGAUAUGCUUCCGAUACAAUUGUCGUUAAUUGUGUUUCGUACAAUCAGGAUGGCACGUCCAGCCAAACUUGAAGCUGCGACUAGGGUUAAAGGAUAUGCAUGAAACAUUAAAAAUUAGCAGCUUGUUAUUAUAGACUACUCUAAUGGUAUAGAGAUAGUUUGACUUUAAAAAAAGUUUUUUUUUUUGUUUAGUAUUUCAAAGAUUUUAACUACUGUAAACAUAACAUUUUCUUGAACUUGGAAAUAAAAAGUUACAGGGAAGUAAGUGACAAAUGGAAAAAAAAAAAAAAAGUUGUGGAGAAUUAAGCAGGUGAUUUCUUCAAUUGCACGCGCAUGCUACCAUAUUGUGGUCUAAAAAGUAAAAGGUGGAUGAUGAUGUGACUGCAAAAUCUAUUUUUCCUGAUACAACUCAACGUAGUUAGUUAAUUUAUUGUGUUUAGUUCACUAAGCAUUUGUCAAGCGAAGCAGAAAUAUGCUUGAAGGAACCCCUAACUAAUAAUAAAGACACUUUUUUAAGCACAAAGGAGACAGGUCGAUUUAAAGCUUUAUUUCGUCUAAACUUCCCAAAGUUACGAUAAUCCAAUCUGGUAAGUGGUACUUGGAAUGAUGUGCAGGAAAGGGAAAGGAAGGAAGAUGACAAAAACCAAUUUGGAGCUCCAUCUAACAGUUAGUUAGAUGCAAAACCAGCAAAUCUGGCCCUUAGCCAAGAAAUUUCAAACAUAGGAUGUGAAAGUACAUUGCCUGAAGUCUCGUAUUGCCUACGGAUUUCAUCUCCAAGGAAUGCUAUCAAUAUGGACAGGCAUAAUCAUCAGAAUUAUAAAGUUUGAUCGCCUCUCUACAUCAUGAGUCGCCUUUGGUCCUUUAACUUUAGUGUCAUACUUUCUUCACAACCGCCAAAAACAAAUAGCAAAUCACAAAAAAUCGCAAGCGGCGCUAUAGCCCAAGUUGAAAACGUGGUCAAUUAUUAUUUAGGGAUGGGUUAAAUCCAUGCUUCUAAUGCAUUAAUAACUUAUAUCACGAGCGCUGAUAACUCGCACCAUUAGCAUUAAAAACCCUACCAGGUGUGGAUUUAAAUUGUAUGGGUGCGGAUUUAGUAUCAUCGAUUAUUUAUUAAACUUGAAUGCUCGUUUGGAUUGUUAUUUUUUCCAAAAAAGUUUUACAUUUUUCAUGAACAAAUUUUUCAACCACCUUUUUAUCUCUAAUAUACAUCACAUCGCUACGGCACAUUUUCAAAUGAUUAUUGAACCCUCACAUUUUUGUUUGUUGCACCAUUCUAGUCUAUAAAAAGUAAACAUGCGAUUUUUUAUAUGAAUCAUUGAAUGUUUGUUUGAAUUGCUAUUUUUCUCUACAAAAUUUUUACGUUUUUUAUGAACACAUUUUUCAAUCGUCUUUUUUUCUCACAUACAUCACAUUUUUCAAUCGUCCUUUUUUCUCACGUACAUCACGAGUCUAGUCUUUAAAAAGUCAACUUUUCAAAUGAUUAUUGAACCCCCGCGUUUUCAAUUGUUAUACCAUUCUAGUCUUUAAAAAGUAAACUAUUGAUUUUUGAUAUCAAUAACGCAGUUUAAAUCUGGGUGAGAACGUUUAUCUUCGUACAAUUUUUAGCUUCCAUAGCCAAAGACAAAUACCAAAUGGCUACGAAGACAACUUUCGUAUUUUCUUACAACCAAAAAAAAAAAAGCCAAUUUCUUGCUUUCCCAUUCCAUUUGUACAGCACUCAAGUCAUCUCUAUGCGUUCAGUUAAGAAACAAAAAACAUACCAAUACGCUUUCCAUUUCAGAUUCUGGAAAACGGAGCAUGUCGUAGGACUCUCUCGUUUCUACCACAGCUACCAAUCAACAGCAGUAGCGACUAUAUAACCUAAAAGACGCAACUUUCUGAAGAACCAUCCCAACUAUUAGAUCAGUCUGCCGCCAGAGGGGGCAAUAAGCUUUAGUACUUACACAUCACUUGCUCAAAACAUAACGGGCUCUCUUCUGUACAACGCGGCGUGUAAUUUAGCCUUCAACCACAGUACAAUCAUUUCGGAAAACGGCGCCUGCUCUCCCUCUAAGUACAAGGUGACGAGUUAAACACUGAGGCCGGCGAUGACCCAGCUAACUGAUUUCGACACAAAUCGACACUCAUCUUGCUUGGAGGGGCUUGUGUUGACUUAGAAUAUUUAUACAUAGCAUCUUCCGUAAAACUAUAGGCAAUCAUGACUUCAAGCUGGAAUGACCAGCAAAAACCUUGGCUUCAAACAGCUAGACAGAACAUAUACCACAAAAUCACAAAUCAAAGGAGAAAUAGGUACCUGGCCAAAGAUAUGAUCUAUUACUUCCCUAACUGCUUCAAUAACUCAUUCCACGAAUUUAGAUGGUCAAUGGAAAAACAAGCAGACAGCGGCAGAGUAUUAUCCAAUCACCCGUUCAGGAAUAUUACAAGGCUACCAGGCUUAUCUAAGACAGCAUCAGUCCAAAUACCAUUCUAGAUAGCAACAUUCAACAAAUUUACCAAAUUGCACAAACAAGUCAUAUUUCAAUAACGAUCAAAGGAAGGGGGCCGU